GAUGAACGCUGGCGGCGUGCCUAAUACAUGCAAGUCGAGCGAACGGACGAGAAGCUUGCUUCUCUGAUGUUAGCGGCGGACGGGUGAGUAACACGUGGAUAACCUACCUAUAAGACUGGGAUAACUUCGGGAAACCGGAGCUAAUACCGGAUAAUAUUUUGAACCGCAUGGUUCAAAAGUGAAAGACGGUCUUGCUGUCACUUAUAGAUGGAUCCGCGUUGCAUUAGCUAGUUGGUAAGGUAACGGCUUACCAAGGCAACGAUGCAUAGCCGACCUGAGAGGGUGAUCGGCCACACUGGAACUGAGACACGGUCCAGACUCCUACGGGAGGCAGCAGCAGGGAAUCUUCCGCAAUGGGCGAAAGCCUGACGGAGCAACGCCGCGUGAGUGAUGAAGGUCUUCGGAUCGUAAAACUCUGUUAUUAGGGAAGAACAUAUGUGUAAGUAACUGUGCACAUCUUGACGGUACCUAAUCAGAAAGCCACGGCUAACUACGUG
RNAcentral lists this ribosomal RNA (497 nucleotides) under uncultured bacterium. Its description in RNAcentral is "partial 16S ribosomal RNA". It matches the Rfam family "Bacterial small subunit ribosomal RNA", at positions 28 to 507 of the family's 1533-position model. The record is from RNAcentral.